RNAcentral lists this unclassified non-coding RNA (470 nucleotides) under Ascomycota cf. Helotiales OTU_065. RNAcentral's name for it is "sequence contains ITS1, 5.8S rRNA gene and ITS2". The stretch from base 161 to 314 matches the Rfam family "5.8S ribosomal RNA". Lineage: Eukaryota; Fungi; Ascomycota. The record is from RNAcentral.
CAGUGUUUCCUGCCCUCACGGGUAGAAACCCCACCCUUGUAUAAUAUAUUUUGUUGCUUCGGCAGGCCACUCUUCGGAGUGUGGGCUUCGGUCUACCGUGCCUGUCAAAGGACCUAAAACUCUGUCUUAUAGUGUCGUCUGAGUACUAUAUAAUAGUUAAAACUUUCAACAACGGAUCUCUUGGUUCUGGCAUCGAUGAAGAACGCAGCGAAAUGCGAUAAGUAAUGUGAAUUGCAGAAUUCAGUGAAUCAUCGAAUCUUUGAACGCACAUUGCGCCCCUUGGUAUUCCGAGGGGCAUGCCUGUUCGAGCGUCAUUUUGACCAACUCCUAUUCUUUUAUAGGGUCUUGGGUUAUGCCUUUCUAGGCAGGCCUUAAAACCAGUGGCGGUGCUAUAUAGCUCUACGCGUAGUAAUACUUCUCGCUAUAGAUGUUAUAUGGUAUCUUGCCAACAACCCCCAACUUCUUAAAGG